Molecule: non-coding RNA, 29 nt
Filed under: Mus musculus (house mouse)
Lineage: Eukaryota; Metazoa; Chordata; Mammalia; Rodentia; Muridae
Source: RNAcentral
UGGGACAAGAAUGAUCAUAGAAGACUGUA